Molecule: long non-coding RNA, 947 nt
Organism: Brassica rapa (field mustard)
Lineage: Eukaryota; Viridiplantae; Streptophyta; Magnoliopsida; Brassicales; Brassicaceae
Source: RefSeq, a predicted model, not a curated record
ACGUAUCUACGCAUUAAUUAAAUUUAAAAAAAAAGAAAAUUGGGUUAAUUAAGUGGAAACGUAUCUUAAUUAGGGGAAGGAAGACACCGUGUCUUGAGACACGUGUUGAGUUGUGGGUGUUCAGAAGCAAACCGUGUCUCUCUCCCUUCUUCGAUUUCGUCGACGACUCCGACGUCUUCAUCUCCCAACCAUGGCUUCUCCUUCUGUUUUAGAGCAUCGUCCAGCUUCACUCGAUGCUACAGCAGAUCCACCCGCUCUGUGUUCGACAGAACCACAAGAUUGUACACAAGCUACGGUUGCCCAUAUGCUCAACGUGUUUGGAUCACCAGAAACUUCAAGGGUCUGCAAGAAAAGAUUAAGCUUGUUCCUUUGACCUUGGGAAUAGGCCUGCUUGGUACAAGGACAAAGUCUAUCCUGAAAACAAGGUGCCAGCACUUGAGCACAAUGGAAAGUCUUGAUUUGAUCAAGUAUCUCAACAACACUUUUAAAUCAUCUUCCUCACCAAUCAAAUGGCGUCUUUGUCUGGUUCCUAAAUUAAUGAGAUGGACGUAGAGAACACUGAUGAGAUAAGAUGGACGUAGUAAGACGCCAUUUGAUUGGUGAGAAUGUUAUUGCGCUCACUGUACUGGGGGUCCUCUGUUUCAACAGCGACCGUAUCCAUCACCUGGAGCUGUUCUGAGGAGAAACGCAGAGACGGCAUCGUCGCAGAAGAAGAAACCAAACUCUCAUUUCACGGAAAUCACAAAGAGAGGCGAUGGAAAAGAUGGUCUUGCUGAUGCAGAUUGAGAAAGAGAGAAAGAGACUUAUUUUUUAAAAGAACCUUUGAAUAAGAAACUUGCAAUGGAGCAAGUAAAUUUUUGGGUCUCUUAAUCAAGUCUCUUAAUUUACUUUUACAAUUAAAAAAUAUUUAAAAAAAAUAAGAGACCCAUUUAGGGUUUUUGGGAUAA